UUGUCUUUAGUUGCUACGCAAGAGCACUCUAAAGAGACUGCCGGUGACAAACCGGAGGAAGGUGGGGAUGACGUCAAGUCCUCAUGGCCCUUAUGGGUAGGGCUUCACACGUCAUACAAUGGUGCAUACAGAGGGUUGCCAACCCGCGAGGGGGAGCUAAUCUCAGAAAAUGCAUCGUAGUCCGAAUCGUAGUCUGCAACUCGACUACGUGAAGCUGGAAUCGCUAGUAAUCGCGGAUCAGAAUGUCGCGGUGAAUACGUUCCCGGGUCUUGUACACACCGCCCGUCAUACCAUGGGAGUGGGUUUUGCCAGAAGCUGUUAGCCUAACCGCAAGGGGGGCGACUGCCACGGCAGGGUUCAUGACUGGGGUAAAGUCGUAACAAGGUAGCCGUAUCGGAAGGUGCGGCUGGAUCACCUCCUUU
RNAcentral lists this ribosomal RNA (422 nucleotides) under Polynucleobacter necessarius. RNAcentral describes it as "bacterial SSU rRNA". It matches the Rfam family "Bacterial small subunit ribosomal RNA", at positions 1105 to 1533 of the family's 1533-position model. Lineage: Bacteria; Pseudomonadati; Pseudomonadota; Betaproteobacteria; Burkholderiales; Burkholderiaceae. The record is from RNAcentral.